GAUGAAGAACGUAGUGAAAUGCGAUAAGUAAUGUGAAUUGCAGAAUUCAGUGAAUCAUCGAAUCUUUGAACGCACAUUGCGCCCGGCAGUACUCUGCCGGGCAUGCCUGUUCGAGCGUCAUUUCAACCCUCAAGCCCUGCUUGGUGUUGGGGUUCCACGGCCGCCGUGGGCCCUGAAAGGAAGUGGCGGGCUCGCUACAACUCCGAGCGUAGUAAUUCAUUAUCUCGCUUAGGGCGUUGGGCGGCGCUCCUGCCGUUAAAGAACCAUCUUUAACUCAAGGUUGACCUCGGAUCAGGUAGGAAUACCCGCUGAACUUAAGCAUAUCAAUAAGCGGAGGA
Molecule: unclassified non-coding RNA, 338 nt
Filed under: soil metagenome
Description: partial contains 5.8S ribosomal RNA, internal transcribed spacer 2, and large subunit ribosomal RNA
Rfam family: 5.8S ribosomal RNA (bases 1-120)
Source: RNAcentral